RNAcentral lists this small RNA (29 nucleotides) under Bombyx mori (domestic silkworm). RNAcentral describes it as "ovarian small RNA-6216". Lineage: Eukaryota; Metazoa; Arthropoda; Insecta; Lepidoptera; Bombycidae. The record is from RNAcentral.
UACUUCAUUACUGAAGGUCCGUGUCCCUA